UUUUUCCUCUCCUCUCCACACACACACAUACUCAGUCUCUUCCACCGAAACAGCAGCCCCCAACCUCCAUUUCUCUUCUUUUCUCCUUCUUUGCUCUCUCUUCUCUUCCCAUCUUCAUGGUGAAAGCUUGGUUUGGUAUAGGUAUGGACUAGAAUUUCGUGGAGAAGGCAUAGAAUAUGGGUUUGAAGGGCUGAAAUUUUAGGUGUGGCUUGGGCUUUACUUCAAAUCAAGUCCUCCAUCAUUUGUGAGCUUUGGGUAGCAAUUUUUGGGUGUUAGGACCUCCAAUCUACCGAUUAUUCAAAGCUAUUCAUUGCGCAACCUUGGGUGAGAAUAAUCCCACAAAGCCACGGAUCUUGCAAGAAGAUGUGGCUAACAGGUACAGGUGAUGCGGAGGAUGACUUUGUUGCAAACUACUUGGAG
Alnus glutinosa is the source of this 420-nucleotide long non-coding RNA. RefSeq lists it as uncharacterized. NCBI's taxonomy places the organism in Eukaryota, Viridiplantae, Streptophyta, Magnoliopsida, Fagales, Betulaceae. The record is from RefSeq and is a predicted model, not a curated record. The transcript has 4 exons.